Molecule: non-coding RNA, 66 nt
Organism: Macrobrachium nipponense
Lineage: Eukaryota; Metazoa; Arthropoda; Malacostraca; Decapoda; Palaemonidae
Source: the annotation of a RefSeq genome assembly
UUAAAAUUAGUUAAAUAAAUAACACGAGCUUGUCAAGCUCGAAUUAUUACAAAGUAAUAUUUUAAA